Molecule: long non-coding RNA, 779 nt
Organism: Neofelis nebulosa (Clouded leopard)
Lineage: Eukaryota; Metazoa; Chordata; Mammalia; Carnivora; Felidae
Exons: 4
Source: RefSeq, a predicted model, not a curated record
UCGAAGUCCCUCCCUUGGUUCCUGCCCUGGGUCAGGCCAAAGCUGUGACUCACACCUCCCAUCGAUCCAUCCUGUUCCCUCCUGGCAGACCAAUCGUUGCACAAUCCUGCUUUGGUGAGGUCGCCUCCCUGCCUGAAAGCCUCUUGCAUCAAUCCUCGGCCCCACCCUCCUGAAAUGCCCUCCCUGGGCUCCCCAGAGCAAGCCCCUCAUUUCUGCAAGGCGGAUUCGGAUUCGCCCGAGGCUCAGUCAAGAGGACACUUGACUGCAGUUCACCCGUGAACUUGGCACGAGCAAUCGCCCGACGCCCUGGUGCCUGUUCGCCAUGCUAGGCAAACGGACCGCGCUUGGGGAAGGCGCUGGCUUACCCUUGGCACUGGUCUGAUCUCGACGAAGCAUCUCUUACAUCUCGCCCCCUGCUCUUGGAGAAGGUUCUGGCUGCCAGUGUUUUCUUUCUGCCUUCCACAGCGCGGAGAGAUCUAAGUGGGCUCCUGGGUGCGAGCUGAGCCACCGAACAACGGUCUGUGCUGCUCACCACCUCAGCGACUAUGUCGCUGCCGGGCACAGAGUGAGAUCCAGAGAAACACGCGUUCUAGUGGAAACAGACUUUCCGAAUGGGUUUCCGGCCAUCACCACGGUUUCGCAUUAGGUUCUCCACCUGGAUCCUUGGUGCUCCCCUCCUCCUUUAUGUAACCGUCAGUAGAAUAUUCCAGCUAAACAAACAGGUCUCUGAAAAGAAGCAAACUGAUGACAGGUUCUUUUAUGCUUGUAGUGCCGAAUCU